RNAcentral lists this ribosomal RNA (253 nucleotides) under uncultured bacterium. Its description in RNAcentral is "partial 16S ribosomal RNA". It matches the Rfam family "Bacterial small subunit ribosomal RNA", at positions 524 to 776 of the family's 1533-position model. The record is from RNAcentral.
UACGUAGGGUGCGAGCGUUGUCCGGAAUUACUGGGCGUAAAGAGCUCGUAGGUGGUUUGUCGCGUUGUUCGUGAAAACCGGGGGCUUAACCCUCGGCGUGCGGGCGAUACGGGCAGACUGGAGUACUGCAGGGGAGACUGGAAUUCCUGGUGUAGCGGUGGAAUGCGCAGAUAUCAGGAGGAACUCCGGUGGCGAAGGCGGGUCUCUGGGCAGUAACUGACGCUGAGGAGCGAAAGCGUGGGGAGCGAACAGG